Molecule: long non-coding RNA, 3151 nt
Filed under: Nicotiana tabacum (common tobacco)
Lineage: Eukaryota; Viridiplantae; Streptophyta; Magnoliopsida; Solanales; Solanaceae
Description: long non-coding RNA (NTAB_LNC014486)
Source: RNAcentral
AAACUGGUACAAUGAGACAACUUCAGGGAGGUAAUUAUGUAUUAUCCCUUUUUUUAAUUUGAUCUAAACUUUUUGGGUUUAAGGCAUGAAGGAGAAGAGUGUAGGGCAGCAAGAAAGAGACAACUUGGAGCUCUUCAUCGGAAACAAAGGUGAACUUUCUCUCAUCUCUUAGUUUCGUGCAUGUUCUGUGCUACCUCUUUUUCAUCUCAAGAGUUGUCCUUCUCUCUGUUUAAUUUAGAUUGUGGAAUAUAGAUAUCUAUGUUGAUUCAGCAGAUUUAACUUGGUCGGAAUCUUUUGGUUGACUGCGCUACGACAAUUUCAUCAGAAAAUUCUAAAUAUCCAAACGCUAAUUUCAAAAUUUGACGUAGCUCUAUAAAUUUUUAGAAAAUAUGAUGGAUUCUGUACUUAGAUAGAGCUAUGAUUUAUUGAUACAGAUAAUAUUCUCACUAUUAGAUUUGGGUAUUGUUCUCUCUUGUGUAUGUUGGUUUCAUUCAGUGUUAUCAAAGGCGUGCUUAAAGCGCCUUAAGCCCUGAAACAAGGCUCAAAACAUGUUGAGCGCCUCGCCCGCAUACCAAGCGCUUCAGUAUUGUCAUCAAGGCUCUAAGACAUACUUUUCUUUGCCGAUGAGUGUAAUCCUGAAAACGCGACACUAAACAAUUGAUAUUUUGAUAUUUCACUUUGUCAUAAAUUAUCUUCAGUUUUUUUGUCGAUAUAUUUGGUACUCAUGCUUAUAAAUAUUAGUCUUGGACUACACAUACAUAUUUGUCGUUUUUCUCUGUUUGCACUUUUCUUUAUUAAAGCUCAUGCUUUAUUUGCACUUUGCGCUUAAAGCCCCAACAGACCUUAGAGUAUUUUUGCGCUUUUCGCCUUUAAUAACACUGGUUCAUGGCCGUAAGUAACAAGAACAGGAGUGUGCAGAACUUUCAGCACAACCUUUGGUAGUUCACUUUUCUACAAAAUAUUUGCUCUCGACAUGGAUGAACGGUGUUAAUAAAGAAAAACUUAGAUGUAUAGCAAAUGUGUGACUUUAAAUACAUGUAAUUGAUUCGUCGCUUGUGUGUCUAUAUAUUUGCAGUUCAGUUUCGCUUUUCGAGUCUCCUAGUGGGUAUAUAUCAAAAAUCAUAACGAUUUACAUUCUUACAAGUAAGUUUUCAUAUAUUGUAACACUUUUAAGUCAUACAAUAACCUCUCUUGAUUACUAUUUUCUUAUCAUACCCACUUCUGUUAAGCCUUUAUAUACCUCCUUCUUUAGUCCUAUGUAAUUGAAAUGCUAUUUUUGGUAUCUUUUUUAUCGUUGUUUACAGAAAAAUCGUUAUUUAGAUCAUUAGUGAACAAUUGAUGUGGAAGUAAGAAUUAUUGGUAAAGUUACUUUUAAAUUUCUGUUUUUACCUGGUGUUUUUAUAUUUUCUCGUGUCUACUGAUUUAUGCUUUUCUAUACACUCCUUUCAGCCAUAAUAUCAUGGUGGUCAGAAUUCCAUAUUAUAAUACUGAAAAGUUUCUCUGGAAUUGCCUCUUAUCCCCUACUGCUUUAUGGGAAAAUUGGAGUAAAAAGAAAUAGUGUGAAGGAGGAAAAAGAGCUGAAAGCAUCCUUUUUCAAAGUUUUCUUAAGUUAUAUUUCCUAGAUAUAUCAGUUAUAAAAGUAGUCAACAACCUUACUUGAGCAGGAUCAGUCACACAAUCAUGACUGACAACAACUAUUUUUUUAUACAAUUUUUGCCUGCUAAAGAGGCUUGUGUGUGAAUAACCUUCAAAAGAAGGCCUAGCUCAAAGGGGGUGGAUUUGUGUCUUAGGUCACAGGUUCAAGCCCCCACACCAUGCAAAGCAAAGCCUGGUAUUUAAGUGGAGAAGGGUAGAGGGGCGGGCCCAUUAUCCACCGAGUUUCGAAGGCUGCGGUUGGUCCAAAGGAUCAGCCCCAGACGGAUUUCUCGGUCAUCAAAAAAAAAGAAAGGUACCCAACAUUGCAGCAAAGGGCCUCUCUGUAGAGAUCAUCACAAAGGUACUUAACCACCUCUCUCUACCCUACAAAACACAUCAAUGCUUUGAUGUUGUUUCUCAGCACCUGAAAUUAGUUUUGGUCAUAUCUUAACAACUCUUGAAUUUUUUUCAUGGCUGAUACCAUAUGGAGGUUUGCCUUCAGCUACCUCUUUUUCUGUGUUUGGCAUCUUUAUGAGGGAGGUUUCUGGUUCUGAAAUAUUUAUUGUGUGUCGCUUAUCAUUGCUGAAACAUGAUAUAACAUGUAUGAAAAGGGUAGGUAUCGUAUAACUUUCUAUGUAAACUGAGUCAUUAACAAACUUUUACUAGAUAUAAUGGUUAAUAUAAAAUAUGGAUUUAAGAUUGCAUUGUGACACAUGAUGUAGCUUCAACACCAAGUUAGUGCUAAAAGUAGGGAUGGUACGCGGGACUUGAUUAGUUCUGUUAACAGAAUUUUGUAUCGUAGAAAAAUGAUGAAAAAUCUUAAGGGUGUGAUUUUUUCCCUUUAAAUCAUGCUCGAGAUUUUAACAUCAAAUUCGCUGUUUGUAGGCUUAUAAAGACAAACUUUUAACACUUCCAAUCCUAUCUUCAUAUAUGAUCCUUGUAACUUCUUGGACCAACAAAAAACUAGAGAAGUUGAGGGGUCGAAUUUAUAACAUAGCUUCUUGUUCUUUGUAAUAGUUGCUGCUUUGUCUAUUUGGAACAUUGAAAACUUGAUAAAUUUUAUUUUUUAUAGAAGGUUUAGUUAGUAACUUAGUAUUGACAAGUUUAAUUUGCAUUUCUUUUGCUGUAUGUUGAAAUAUAUUACCUUUUUUUUGUUGAUUUAUGUUGAAAUAUAUACUUAGCAACCUUAGCAGGCACCGUAUAGAGACUAUCAUUUUGCUCUGCUACUUUCAAGUUUCAUGGGAUGUGGAUUUGCUCUACUUGCAUAUACUCAUGUGUAUCAGUAUAUGCAAUAUCAACCUACAAGACAAGGCAAUCUAAUAACAAACUAUUGAGAAACAACAGAGUUCGACGGAACGCUUACCAUGACAGCUUUCCAUUAAGUAGCAAGCUGAAAAAGACGUAGUAAAUGAGGCUCUAGAUUGGUUGUUGAAAGGCACCGUUCUUAUGUCCUUUUUGCAUAUAUUUUUGUACACAUAUGGUAAAUAAAUAAAAAAUAUGCUCAUGUUGUAUGGAA